Molecule: non-coding RNA, 30 nt
Filed under: Mus musculus (house mouse)
Lineage: Eukaryota; Metazoa; Chordata; Mammalia; Rodentia; Muridae
Source: RNAcentral
UGACCAGGUCAAGUCUCUUGGACAGAUUGC